AGAGUUUGAUCAUGGCUCAGGACGAACGCUGGCGGCGUGCUUAACACAUGCAAGUCGAGCGGAAAUAUAUUGAAGAUUUAUCGGAUAUAUAUUUUAGCGGCGGACGGGUGAGUAACGCGUGGGCAAUCUGCCUCACACAGGGGAAUAACACUGGGAAACUAGUGCUAAUACCGCAUGAAAUAGUGAAGUGGCAUCACUUUACUAUCAAAGGAGCAAUCCGGUGUGAGAUGAGCCCGCGUCCGAUUAGCUAGUUGGUGAGGUAACGGCUCACCAAGGCGACGAUCGGUAGCCGAACUGAGAGGUUGAUCGGCCACAUUGGGACUGAGACACGGCCCAGACUCCUACGGGAGGCAGCAGUGGGGAAUAUUGCGCAAUGGGGGAGACCCUGACGCAGCAACGCCGCGUGAAGGAUGAAGGUUUUCGGAUUGUAAACUUCUUUGAUUGGGGACGAUAAUGACGGUACCCAAAAAACAAGCCACGGCUAACUACGUGCCAGCAGCCGCGGUAAUAC
RNAcentral lists this ribosomal RNA (511 nucleotides) under uncultured Acetivibrio sp. RNAcentral describes it as "bacterial SSU rRNA". It matches the Rfam family "Bacterial small subunit ribosomal RNA", at positions 8 to 526 of the family's 1533-position model. Lineage: Bacteria; Bacillati; Bacillota; Clostridia; Acetivibrionales; Acetivibrionaceae. The record is from RNAcentral.